GAUGAACGCUGGCGGCGUGCCUAAUACAUGCAAGUCGAGCGAACGGACGAGAAGCUUGCUUCUCUGAUGUUAGCGGCGGACGGGUGAGUAACACGUGGAUAACCUACCUCUAUGACUGGGAUAACUUCGGGAAACCGGAGCUAAUACCGGAUAAUAUUUUGAACCGCAUGGUUCAAAAGUGAAAGACGCUCUUGCUGUCUCUUAUAGAUGGAUCCGCGCUGCAUUAGCUAGUUGGUAAGGUAACGGCUUACCAAGGCAACGAUGCAUAGCCGACCUGAGAGGGUGAUCGGCCACACUGGAACUGAGACACGGUCCAGACUCCUACGGGAGGCAGCAGUAGGGAAUCUUCCGCAAUGGGCGAAAGCCUGACGGAGCAACGCCGCGUGAGUGAUGAAGGUCUUCGGAUCGUAAAACUCUGUUAUUAGGGAAGAACAUAUGUGUAAGUAACUGUGCACAUCUUGACGGUACCUAAUCAGAAAGCAACGGCUAACUACGUG
Molecule: ribosomal RNA, 497 nt
Filed under: uncultured bacterium
Lineage: Bacteria
Description: partial 16S ribosomal RNA
Rfam family: Bacterial small subunit ribosomal RNA
Source: RNAcentral